CCUACGGGCGGCUGCAGUGGGGAAUAUUGCACAAUGGGCGCAAGCCUGAUGCAGCCAUGCCGCGUGUGUGAAGAAGGCCUUCGGGUUGUAAAGCACUUUCAGCGGGGAGGAAGGCGGCGAGGUUAAUAACCUCAUCGAUUGACGUUACCCGCAGAAGAAGCACCGGCUAACUCCGUGCCAGCAGCCGCGGUAAUACGGAGGGUGCAAGCGUUAAUCGGAAUUACUGGGCGUAAAGCGCACGCAGGCGGUCUGUCAAGUCGGAUGUGAAAUCCCCGGGCUCAACCUGGGAACUGCAUUCGAAACUGGCAGGCUAGAGUCUUGUAGAGGGGGGUAGAAUUCCAGGUGUAGCGGUGAAAUGCGUAGAGAUCUGGAGGAAUACCGGUGGCGAAGGCGGCCCCCUGGACAAAGACUGACGCUCAGGUGCGAAAGCGUGGGGAGCAAACAGGAUUAGAUACCCGUGUAGUC
Molecule: ribosomal RNA, 465 nt
Filed under: uncultured Klebsiella sp.
Lineage: Bacteria; Pseudomonadati; Pseudomonadota; Gammaproteobacteria; Enterobacterales; Enterobacteriaceae
Description: bacterial SSU rRNA
Rfam family: Bacterial small subunit ribosomal RNA
Source: RNAcentral